RNAcentral lists this ribosomal RNA (795 nucleotides) under Cantharellus infundibuliformis. RNAcentral's name for it is "partial large subunit ribosomal RNA". It matches the Rfam family "Eukaryotic large subunit ribosomal RNA", at positions 88 to 901 of the family's 3401-position model. The record is from RNAcentral. Lineage: Eukaryota; Fungi; Basidiomycota; Agaricomycetes; Cantharellales; Hydnaceae.
GGCGAGUGAAGCGGCAACAGCUCAAAUUUGAAAUCUGGCUCUUUCAGGGUCCGAGUUGUAAUUUGUAGAGGGUGCUUUGGAGUCGACUGUGGUCUAAGUUCCUUGGAACAGGACGUCGCAGAGGGUGAGAAUCCCGUAUGUGGCCGCCAGUCUUCUCCGUGUAAAGCCCCUUCGACGAGUCGAGUUGUUUGGGAAUGCAGCUCUAAAUGGGAGGUAAAUUUCUUCUAAAGCUAAAUAUUGGCCAGAGACCGAUAGCGCACAAAUAGAGUGAUCGAAAGAUGAAAAGCACUUUGGAAAGAGAGUCAAAAAGCACGUGAAAUUGUUGAAAGGGAAGCGCUUGCAGCCAGACUUGCCUGUAGGUGCUCAUCCGGGCUUUUGCCCGGUGCACUCUUCUAUAGGCAGGCCAGCAUCAGUCGCGGCGGUUGGAUAAAUGUCUGCACAAUGUACCUCUCUUCGGGGAGGACUUAUAGGGCAGGCGGCAUACAACCAGCUGCGAUUGAGGUCCGCGCAUCUGCUAGGAUGCUGGCGUAAUGGCUGUAAGCGGCCCGUCUUGAAACACGGACCAAGGAGUCUAACAUCUAUGCGAGUGUUUGGGUGUCAAGCCCGAGCGCGUAAUGAAAGUGAACGGAGGUGGGAACCCCUCGGGGUGCACCAUCGACCGAUCCUGAUGUCUUCGGAUGGAUUUGAGUAAGAGCAUAGCUGUUGGGACCCGAAAGAUGGUGAACUAUGCCUGAAUAGGGUGAAGCCAGAGGAAACUCUGGUGGAGGCUCGCAGCGGUUCUGACGUGCAAAUCGA